Molecule: RNA transcript, 2748 nt
Organism: Acyrthosiphon pisum (pea aphid)
Lineage: Eukaryota; Metazoa; Arthropoda; Insecta; Hemiptera; Aphididae
Exons: 18
Source: RefSeq, a predicted model, not a curated record
AGUAAUCAAUAGUCUGUGUGGUUUAGAAUAUAAUGAUUUUUGAGAAACAAAGUUUUAGCAUUGACAGUAUACCUACUCUUAACACAUGUAUAAAAAAAACUAAAUAAAAACGCGUAAUUGAUCUCUAAUAAAUUGGUGGAGUAGUGCUGUCACUUUGACUGUAGUGGCCCAUAUAUAACUAAAAAUUAUGAAAGCACAUAACCCGUGACUUUCUUGAUCCGUUAAUACCUCUUUUUACAAUUUGGUUUUUUCAUUAGACCUUUAAACUUAAAUAUUUACACUGUUUAAAUGAGAGAGUGGGGACAGAGUGGCAAAGCGGAAUAAGGCGUCGGUUACGACGCAUACCGUUCCUGGUGUGAACCUCGGUCUUGGACGUCACUUCAUUCGGGGAGUCACGGUGUCUGGAGAGAGAGGCCCCCAUCCCCCAUUUGCACAUGGCGGAUGCCUACAAGUGCCCACUUGAAAAUUCUGCCUAACUAAAUCUACUGUACUCUCCCCUAAAGUUCAAAAUCACCCAAUUUGACCCGGGUUCAAGUCAAAACUGACUACUAUGCACACAAACGUUUGAUCGUCCGAGAAAAAAAACAGAUGAUCCACCCAAGUACCAUUUAAUCAUUCGUUUCUGUAAUUGAGACAUUACAUGCUGGGUUUUUAAACAUUUAUUUUUGAUGGUUGUAACAUUUUUUCAAUCAAUGUUCCCUGUUGCACACUUGCAUUAAUGGAGGCAAAAUAGUAAGCGCUGACUGCACUCACAAAUUGACUACAUACGGUAUAAAAGUAGGAUUAACCAAAUAUGCUGCAACUUAUUGCGCUGUACUUUUAGUCGGCCACAUGGUAAGUUAUUCAAGUUAAUUUGUAAUAUCUUGUUUUAAUUCCACGUUUCUAUGUUUAGUUAUUGAAAAAACUUGGUUUGGACCAUUGUAUGAAGGAUUAAAAGAAGCUAAUGGUGAAGAAUACUAUGUAGAACCUGCUGAUGAAGAUCCAAAUGCUUUCUGUUGCAAUCUAGAUGUUGUUGCUGGUGCUUGAGUUUUUGGAGCAGUGAAAGGAGCCUUAGAUGGAGGUUUCAAAAUUCAUCACAGGGUGAAAAGAUUCCUAGACUAUGAUGCAGUACUAGGUUUAUGGAGCAAUGAAAGAGCCUUAGAUGGAGGUUUCAACACUCCUCACAGCAUAAAACGAUCCCCAGAAUAUGGUGCUGUACUAGGUUUUUGGAGCAAUGAGUGAGCCUUAGAUGGAGAUUUCAACAUUCCUCACAGGGUGAAAAGAUUCCCAGACUAUGAUGUUAUGCUAGAGUUUUUGGAGCAAUAAAAGGAGUCGUCAAUAAAGGUUUAAACACUCCUCACAGGGCGAAACGAUUCCCGGGCUAUAAUGUUGGAAAAUAUGUACGAGAAAGCUUGUAUAAUGAUCAGGAGUGAUCUGAAACAAGAUAGGACGCCAAAGAUGGAGGUUUCAACAUUCCUCACAGGGUGAAAAGAUUCCUAGACUAUGCUAGAAAUUUUGGAGCAAUGAAAGGAGUUGUCGAUAAAGGUUUCAACAUUCCUCACAGGGUGAAAAGAGUCCCAGACUAUGAUGCUGUACUAAGUUCUUGGAGCAAUGAAAGAGCCUUAGAUGGAGGUUUCAACAUUCCUCACAGCAUAAAACGAUUCCCAGAAUAUGGUACUGUACUAAUUUUUUGGAGCAAUGAGCGAGCCUUAGAUGGAGAUUUCAACAUUCCUCACAGGGUGAAAAGAUUCCCAGACUAUGAUGCUGUACUAAGUUCUUGGAGCAAUGAAAGAGCCUUAGAUGGAGGUUUCAACAUUCCUCGCAGGGUGAAAAGAUUCCUAGACUAUGCUAGAAAUUUUGGAGCAAUGAAAGGAGUCGUCGAUAAAGGUUUAAACACUCCUCACAGGGUGAAAAGAUUCCUAGACUAUGCUAGAAAUUUUGGAGCAAUGAAAGGAGUCGUGGAUAAAGGUUUAAACACUCCUCACAGGGUGAAAAGAUUCCCAGACUAUGUAGUAUGCUUGACUUUUUGGAGCAGUGAAAGAAGUCGUCAAUGGAGGUUUCAACAUUCCUCGCGGGUAAUAAAAAAUAUCUCGCUUUUGUAUAAACAAUUUUUAAGCAAUAUAUUUUUUAUUAUUAGCAUAAAACGAUCCCCAGAAUAUGAUGCUGUACUAAGUUUUUGGAGCAAUGAAAGAGCCUUAGAUGGAGGUUUCAACAUUCCUCACAGCAUAAAACGAUCCCCAGAAUAUGAUGCUGUACUAAGUUUUUGGAGCAAUGAAAGAGCCUUAGAUGGAGGUUUCAACAUUCCUCACAGGGUGAAAAGAUUCCCAGACUAUGAUGCUGUACUAAGUUCUUGGAGCAAUGAAAGAGCCUUAGAUGGAGGUUUCAACAUUCCUCACAGCAUAAAACGAUCCCCAGAAUAUGAUGCUGUACUACGUUUUUGGAGCAAUGAAAGAGCCUUAGAUGGAGGUUUCAACAUUCCUCGCAGGGUGAAAAGAUUCCCAGACUAUGAUGCUGGAAAAUAUGUACGCGGAUGCUUGUGGAAUAAUGAGUGUCCUGAUACGAGAUAAGAUGCGUAUCUUAGGCCCAUAUGACAAUCAUAGUUUAAACCUCUGUUAACCCACUGAUUUUACUGGCCGUAUUCAGUGGUUCAACCUUAGUUUAACGAUUGUAAUACGGGCACUUAAGGAGUUACAAGGCCAAACAGUUGGAAUCCUAAACCGUUUUAUGUGCUGAGUCUGUUAUUUCAAUAAAACUUAUUAAACAAUUUUU